Molecule: ribosomal RNA, 505 nt
Filed under: uncultured bacterium
Lineage: Bacteria
Description: bacterial SSU rRNA
Rfam family: Bacterial small subunit ribosomal RNA
Source: RNAcentral
GACGAACGCUGGCGGCGUGCUUAACACAUGCAAGUCGAGCGGUAAGGCUCCUUCGGGAGUACACGAGCGGCGAACGGGUGAGUAACACGUGAGUAACCUGCCCCAAUCAUCGGGAUAACCAUUGGAAACGAUGGCUAAUACCGAAUACGACCACCGAAGGCAUCUUCUGGUGGUGGAAAGCUCCGGCGGAUUGGGAUGGACUCGCGGCCUAUCAGCUUGUUGGUGAGGUAAUGGCUCACCAAGGCAACGACGGGUAGCCGGCCUGAGAGGGUGACCGGCCACACUGGGACUGAGACACGGCCCAGACUCCUACGGGAGGCAGCAGUGGGGAAUAUUGGACAAUGGGCGCAAGCCUGAUCCAGCAACGCCGCGUGAGGGAUGACGGCCUUCGGUUGUAAACGUACUUCUAGUAGGGACGAAGACGAAAGUAGACGGUACCGUACCAAGAAGAAGGAACCGGACCGAACCUACGUAGCCACGCAGCCGCGGUAAACGUAGUAGUGUA